RNAcentral lists this long non-coding RNA (7250 nucleotides) under Eucalyptus grandis. RNAcentral describes it as "long non-coding RNA (EGRA_LNC006007)". The record is from RNAcentral. Lineage: Eukaryota; Viridiplantae; Streptophyta; Magnoliopsida; Myrtales; Myrtaceae.
AGCAGCAGCGCGUUCCAGCUCCUGGGCAUGGCGGAUCUGGGGAUUCUGCCGAAGGUCUUUGCGGUCCGGUCCAAAUGGUUCGACACCCCCUGGUUGGGGAUACUGUUGUCCACGGCCAUCUGCCUCGGGUUUUCCUACAUGAACUUCACCUCGAUCAUAUCAUCGGCCAAUUUCCUGUACAGCCUGGGGAUGCUGCUGGAGUUUGCGUCCUUCCUGUGGCUGCGAAGGAAGAUGCCAACGCUGAAGAGGCCGUACCAGAUCCCGCUAAGCCUGCCGUGGCUGGCAGCUCUGAGCCUGGUGCCGUGCGCAUUCUUGGUGGUGAUCAUGGUGUACGCCACGAAGGUUGUGUACUUGGUGAGCGGGCUUAUGACUGUAGGCGGGAUUGCGUGGUUCUUCUUGAUGAGGCUGUGCAAGUCCAGGAAGAUACUCAAGUUCAGCAAUGGUGACAUUGGUGAGGUUCUUGGAGAGGACCGAUGAUAGUUGAGGUGUGCCAUUUAGAAUCAUAGAAGAAAUCUGGGUAGAUAGAAAAGAUUCGUUUUAUUUUGCUGUUUUUCUCUCCUUCUUGGACAUGUUUCCGGAUGAUCAUGCUGUAAAUUUGAUGGAUUUAUCUGGAAGCAAAUCAGGCUUUGUUCUUUCAGGUAUGGUAAAUUACUUGGCCGGCAAUCUGCAUACUUCAUGUCCAGGCCGACUCACCAGCAAUGUCUACAGCCCUGCUUAGAUUAUAAGCUUAGUCGAUUUCAGGAUCUUACAGCUAGCUGUGACCUCUUUUGCCUAGCGAGAAAUGCUUAUAUGAUUGUCGUGAGAAUAACGACCUGUUUUGUAUUAAUCGAUGCUGAAAAUGGAGGGGCCAGAAUAUACCCUGAUAAUCCUUGAGAAUUUCGCAAUUUUCCCUUUGCAGAAUCAAAGUCGCAUUCUCCGUCGACAAGUUUUGCCCCCAAAGCUUAGAUUCCACGCAGCAAUGCGAGACCAGCAAAGGGCAGCAACCAUCGCUUCCACAUUUCAAUUUGAUUCCUCAAAGGAGAGAGAAUAUAUACUGUUAAUAUAUUAUGUGUGUACUAUAGAUAAUUUGUGAAUUUCUGCUAAAAAUACACUACAAGUAGCUAGUGUUGAGCGAAUGAUUACAUUGAAUUGUACGAAUUAUUCUCUUAUCUUCACAUUUACCCUUUGUAUGGAUAAAUAUUAUAAAAGUACUUCUUUCUUGUAUUUACCACUAGUAUUAAUAUAUACGGGAAAAUUGUCCAAUCAAUCCUAAUCUUGUUGUCGAAUGCUAAUUUAGUAUUAAAAUUUUCAAUUUUGUUAAUUGAGUGUUAAACAUUUGCGUCAAAUUUCAAUAUAAUCCUUUCGAGCAAUUUUUGACGGAAAUUGUUAAUGACUAGAUCGCUAUUUCAGCGAUGCCCAGCGAGAAUGAAUCGGUGGAAUGACUAAAUUGGCUAAAACGGAAUGUUUAUGACUGAAAUUUGUAUCCAUACAAAAGAGUUAGGACUGAAUGGAUAAUUUUUCCCUAUAUAUACUAUAUAACCAUUUCAUAUGCUUUUCCCAUUUGAAAAAGGGCAACACUAUUUCCACUCCCUAUAUAACUAAACCCACCUCCAUUUUCACGAAAAUCCUCAAUUUUAUUUACAAUCUAAAGUGGUGGCUUCAAAUUAUUUAGAGAUAAGUGUAAUAGAAAUUCUAAAACUUGUCAGUGUCUUAAAACUUACAAAAAUUGCAAUCAAGUUAUAAAACUUAUCAAAUUGAUUCAAUUGAGUCCUAAUAUUAAUACCAUCAAACUUAGUAAUGGAAAAUGUUGACAUGGCGCGAACAUGACCUUUUAAAUGAAUUUUUAUUUUCCACAUGGCUUAUUUAAUUAUUUUUUAUUCAAUUAUUUUUUUUAAAAAUUAGAUUUAGAAACUAAAAAAGAAAAGCUAAAAUUUAUUUAAAAAAUAAAAUCGCCCCCCCCCCCCCCCCCAAAAAAAAGAAGCGUCGGUGGGCUUUUCCACCACUGCUGCCCAUUGUUGGAGGGGUUAGCGAUGGUCAUUGGCCCUAGGCGAGGGGCCUUAGCUCAACUAGGGCGAGGCCUUGCUACGCUUGAGCGCGGGCGCCCAAAUCUAGGCACGCCGACCCCCUCGCCUUGUGCUAGCGAGGCCUUGCCUUGGUCGAGUGAGGGUUGACCACCCUCGCCCAAGGUAGGCGACCAUCAUUAGCCCCUUCGUUGAUGGGUAGCGGCCUAAGUAGCACGGACACGUGACACGAACACGCGACAUGACACAACACGACACGUCGACACGUCAUUUCUCAAAAAUAAAGAAUUCCGACACGUCGGGACAUGUUGUAUUUAAAUGAAUAUUUUUAUUUUAAUUAAUUUGAUUCAAAUUCAUAAAUAAAUAAUUAAUUAAAAAAGAGCUUACAAUGAAUUUACACUAAUAAUAUUAAUAAGUCAAUUCAUUGAAAAUUCAAAAAACAUAUUCAUAGUUAAUGUGUAUCUAUGUUUAGAAACGUGUUUUUAACUUUAACAAAAGUUAUUGAUGAAACUAAUGAUUAAUAAAAAAUUAGAAUCAAUUUAUUUAAAUAAAUCCAUGAUCUUCUACAAAGGACCAAAAUUUAUCAUUAUUCAAAAUUCAGUACUUUUAUUUUUCAAAAUUAUUUUUUAUUUCCCUCCCCCACCACCCGACAGUGACAGAUAAGCUGUCACUUCCCCUCCCCCCAAAAUUAAAACUCACCCAUCAGAUCUCCUUUUUUUUUUUUUUUUUUUUUUGAAUUUUCUUAUUAAAAACCCUAGCCAGCCCUCCUUUUUCUCUUCCUCCUUCCCUCUCCUCCUCCUCCUCGCCACACGACCUCCUUCCUCUCCUCUUCCGUCUCUCGCCGUCACUCGCAGCUCGUCUCACUCGCAGCUCGUCUCUGCUCCCUUGCCCUCACCUCCACCCUCCAUCUUUCGGACACUCAUGUCAAAACGUGUUUGGCCACGUGUCGGAAAAUCCGACACGCGUUGACUGCGUGUCUGACCAUGUCGACGUGUCCGACACGCUCCGACAUGUGUCAGACAUGACACGGAAGCACGGGCAACGUGUCUGUGCUUCAUAGGUGGCGGCAAUGGCGGAAGCACCCACUGGUACCAAUUUAUUUUUUUGAACAAUUUUGUUUUAAAAUAAAUUUUAGCUUUUCUUUUUUAGUUUUUAAAUCUAAUUUUUUAAAAAAAAUUGAAUAAUAAUAAUAAUUUUAAAAAAUCAUGUGGAAAAUAAAAAAUUUAAAAUUCCAUAUGGAAAAUAAAUUUUUAUUUAAAAUGCUACGUCCGCGUCACGUCAGCGGUUUCCGUUAGUAAGUUUGACGAUGUUAACUUUAGAACUUAAUUAAAUUGAUUUGACAAAUUUUAUGAUUUGAUUGCACUUUUUGCAAGUUUUAUGAUUCAAUUGCAUUUUUUGAUCUAAGACUUCUUUUGUGCUUAUCCCAAUUAUUUACUUUCCUUCUUUUUCUUAGUUUAUAUUAUUCUAUGUGGGAUAUAAUUGUCAUAGCUAAAAAUAUUACAUGCUUGUUUUUGUUUAUAAUUUUUGGUCAAAUUUGAACUUUUUACUAUUUAGAAAAUAAAAACUAACCUCUUCUGCAUCAUUGCUUUUAUAAUAACUUAUCUAUCAAAAGCUUACUUUUUUGGUAACUUUUUUAUUUUCUAAUUUCGUUAGUCUAAAAUAUAUAUUAAAUCUCUAUAUUACUAUAUCAAAGGAUUUGCCUUUUUUAUUACUAUUGACAAGAUGCUUUGACAGGGAGCAUGUAAGAUAUUAAAGAAGUGUUUAGAAAAAAACGCUAACAACAUCUACAUGAAAAAGUUAUGCACAAUGAGGGAUCUUGAUAUUGUUCGUAAACACUACACGAAUGUUAUUCAUUCUUGUUAAUCCAAAAUAAUGAAAUUUCAAUGGUAAUUUACCAAAAUAAAAAAUCUUAUUUUAUGCAAAGCUUCGAUGUAAUUACAUUCCAUCUUUUGAAAUUUCAUGAACAGGAAAGUAACUGUGAUUUUGUUUUGGAAAGGCUUUAAAGAGUUUUUUUUUUUGUCUCGUCCAAUCAUCCCACAAGUUGUAUACGUACAUAUAACACAACUAAUAAAAAAGAUUUGAUGAUGAUAUGCACAACUAAAAAGGAAAAUUUUAUGUCAAAAAAUUUGUCUAUGUUAAAUCUUUUCUAAAUUUUACUGGAUUAAUCUAGAAAUUUGCUUGACAAUGUAGAAAUAACUAGAUUUCUUCGAAAUUUCUCUUUUGGAUAAACUAGUUUUUAUGGAAGUAAAAUCGAAAAAUAAAGAGAAAACAUAAUGCAUUUAAUGUAUAUGAGAUAAGACAAUGAACAAGAACAAAAUGUGUGAUAUUCUUAGUUAUGGCGAUUAGGUCCUAUAGAGAAAUAGAAAAUCUAAUAAAAGAAGAAAGUAAAUAAAUUGGGGGCUAUCACUUUAAAUUGUAAUCGUAUAAUUAAAGGUAACUUCGUCUUUUUAACAAAAAUGGGGUGCAUUUAGUCAUAUAAAGGAUGGAAAUAGUGCCACCCAAAACUUAAAAAAUUAUCUAAAAUUUUAUGAUCUGCGAAUAUUCUCUCAAUUUGUUCUCGCUUAUCUGGAAAUCCAGUAAAAAUACUCACCAGGAUCUUGUUAUGUGCAGUUUUCUUCUCUCUCGGCUAUCUUAUUAACAUUGAAUCAAAAACCUCAAUUAUCUCUAACAUGAUAACACCCCUCUCCUCAUGUUUUUAAUUGAGUUUAUCUAUUUUGGAUAUUUUAUUACGAUUACGCCUCUCUCUUCUGGGACAUAUACCUCGUUAGACAAUGCGGAUCCACAUAAGACCUACACAAUCCGACGUAUCACCUGUAUUGCGCCUACUACACCUGAUACGGACGAUGAAUUAUCGCGUAAUACAUACACAUAAGCACCUUCUUCCAAUAAGACCAUGCAUUAUGCGACACUACUUCUAGUACAUUGAUUUUGGACUACAAGUCCUAUUGGCUAACGUUAAUUAAAGGGUCUUAAAUAGAAAGCAUAAGGACCCACUUCUUCCUUUUUUCAUGAAGAAUGGCCACGGCUGAAUACAAAAGUUUAAAUUGUAAACCUGCUUUGCCUAUUCUAUCACCUGAUAAAAUAUUAAAUAACUCUCUAGAAUGUAAUGAAACAAAACCAAUGUCCAAGCACUUGUUGAUUCCAUAAUUUUUUUUUUUUUUUUGUCAGAGUUGAUUUCAUAAUUAGCAAGCGAGUCAACGGAGCGAUUUGCUUUAUGAGAGUUAUGUUGCACUUUAAAUUCAAAUUGAGAGCGCAACAAUCUUAUGAUAAGCGAGGUCAGCAUUCAAGCAUAAGUUCUGGACUAACAAGAUCGGUGAUGGCUUUAUAGUCAAUCUUAACAAUGAUCUUAUGAAAAACAAUAUCAGCGUAUUUGUAAAAAUGUUCCUUAUUUUUUAUUCUGUGAAAAUGAAAAUACUAUUAUGUUCCUCAACUUUUUCUUUUCUUGAAAACCCAUUUGGUUGGUGAAGUUGUUUUGCUAGUAAGAGUGACAAAUUUGAAAACAUAUAUCCCAUCUUCAAAAUUAAGCAAUAGAAUGGGAAAAUUGAUGAAAACAUUCUUUGUUUUCAUUUUUCUUUUCUCUUAGAUAAUAACUUGAAAAGAAGUUAACUCGAUGUUUUGAGACAUGAUUAUUAACGUAUAUGAAACAUGUUUGAUUCACAACAAGAAGUUUUCAUAGAAAAUUGGAUUUCGUGAAGAAGUCCAUUUUUUAUCCAGAAUAAUGAAAAAUAUGUAAGGGUGCGUUUGUUUAUGUUUAUGUUCAAAAAUUGUUCCGGGGAACAGAAAUAGAAAAAACUAUUUCUGUUCCGGGGAACAAUUUUUUACCAGAAAGACGCGUUUGGUAAACUUGUUUCGAGAAUAAAAAAUGAAUAGAAACACGUUUGGUAAAUUUGUAUUCUUUUUUUUGUUUCUUUUAAUUUUUAAAUAUUUUUAUUUUAUUUUUCCUUUUUUUAUUUUUUUUUUCUUUUGGCCGAUCGCCGGCCUCGGCCAUGGCCGGCAACCGGUCGACGAGGGCCGGCGGCCUCGCCCAACCACGGCGAGGCUCGCCGGCCCCCGACGAGGCCGAGCCUCGCCGUGGUUGGGCGAGGCUCGGCCUCACCGUGGUUGGGCGAACUUGGGCUCACCCAGAUCUAGUAAGGCCGAGCUCGCCCAGCCACCGGCCCCGCGCCGGCGAGGCUCGGCCUCGCCUUGGUUGGGCGAGAUCGGGCUCGCCCAGAUUCGGCGAGGCCGAGCCUCGCCGAUGGUGGGCGAGCUCAGCCUCGCCAGAUUUGGGUGAGCUCGAGCUCGCCCAGCCAAGGUAAGGCCAAGCCUUGCCAGGGGCCGGCGACGCUUGGCCUCACCGGGGGCCGGCGACCCUCCGGCGAGGUCGCCGGCCAAAGAAAAAAGAAGAAAAAGAAAAAGAGAAGAAAAGAAAUAAGAGAGAGAAAAUUUGUUCUUCAAAAGUGUUUCUAGAACAAAAAAAUAACUUUUUUUUCUUAUUUCUGUUCUAAUUUUGUUCCCGGAACAAAAAAACAGGUUUUGAACAAAAACGCAAACAAAUGCGUUUCUAUUCUUUUUUUGUUCUCGGGAACAAAAAAACAAAAAAUCUGUUCAUGAACAAAAUUUAAAAACGCAACCAUGCACGCCCUAAAAGGCCACUGUUUUUCCGAGAUGAAAAAUUAAUUUAUUGCAAAUGUGUUAGGGGUAUCAAUUUAGGAGUGUUAAUAACAUUAAACUUUUCUUUGUUCUCCAUUAAUUUAGUUUGAGGAAGCUUCCCUAAAACUUGGUUCAAACCAACAACCCGAAAGGCCAAAGCCCUUUAGAUGAAAGAUGCCGUUGAAGCUUUUAUUACAUGUAAGACAACUCAAGGUUGUUUGCAAAGUUAUCAGGAAGUCAGGCCGAAAAGGUCAAUAGGCUUAUCCCGCGUAAUUAAAUGCAGAAGAUUUCCCUUUCCGCGAAUUGAGUUUCUUGCGUCAUGGGAGUGAAUAUAAGGGCAACUGACUAAGCACUUUUUACUCCGAUUAAGGCAUGUUUACAGCUGCUUCGUGCGAGCUGGAGCAGAGGAGACGACGGAUGAGAAAUAGAUUCUUGUGGCUUUGAUUCUUCAAAUCCCGAUCCCACUUUCUCUAAUAUAUGAACCCAUCUCACGGGUUUUCCUACAUGAACUUCACCUCGAUCAUAUCAUCGGCCAACUUCCUGUACAGCCUGGGGAUGCUGCUGGAGUUUGAGUCCUUCCUGUGGCUGCGAAGGAAGAUGCCGAUGCUGAAGAGGCCG